RNAcentral lists this ribosomal RNA (595 nucleotides) under uncultured bacterium. Its description in RNAcentral is "bacterial SSU rRNA". It matches the Rfam family "Bacterial small subunit ribosomal RNA", at positions 891 to 1481 of the family's 1533-position model. The record is from RNAcentral.
AGGCUAAAACUCAAAGGAAUUGACGGGGGCCCGCACAAGCGGCGGAGCAUGCGGAUUAAUUCGAUGCAACGCGAAGAACCUUACCAAGGCUUGACAUGUGCCAGACCGCCGUGGAAACACGGUUUCCCCUUUGGGGCUGGUUCACAGGUGGUGCAUGGUUGUCGUCAGCUCGUGUCGUGAGAUGUUGGGUUAAGUCCCGCAACGAGCGCAACCCUCGUUCUAUGUUGCCAGCGGGUCAUGCCGGGGACUCAUAGGAGACUGCCGGGGUCAACUCGGAGGAAGGUGGGGACGACGUCAAAUCAUCAUGCCCCUUAUGUCUUGGGCUUCACGCAUGCUACAAUGGCCGGUACAAUGGGUUGCGAUACUGUGAGGUGGAGCUAAUCCCAAAAAGCCGGUCUCAGUUCGGAUUGGGGUCUGCAACUCGACCCCAUGAAGUCGGAGUCGCUAGUAAUCGCAGAUCAGCAACGCUGCGGUGAAUACGUUCCCGGGCCUUGUACACACCGCCCGUCAAGUCACGAAAGUUGGUAACACCCGAAGCCGGUGGCCUAACCCCUUGUGGGAGGGAGCCGUCGAAGGUGGGACCGGCGAUUGGGAC